AUGGUGGACCUGCUCAUUGAUAAAGAUACAGGGAAAUGGAAGAAAGAUAUCAUCAACAAUCAUUUUAACAAAAGUGAUAUUGAUGACACCCUUCAACUUCCUUUAUACAAUCUAGAGGAGAAGGAUUACCUAUGUUGGAAUGCUACAAAGGAAGGAAACUAUAGUGUUAGGCCAGGAUAUCACAACAUUAUGGAAUGGAGGACAAAUCAAAAUAUAGCUAGUAUGAGCAAUAAUAGUGAGAAAGAGAUCUAG
Molecule: non-coding RNA, 252 nt
Organism: Vicia faba (fava bean)
Lineage: Eukaryota; Viridiplantae; Streptophyta; Magnoliopsida; Fabales; Fabaceae
Source: the annotation of a GenBank genome assembly